AGACGUAGGGGGCGAGCGUUGUCCGGAAUUACUGGGCGUAAAGGGCGUGUAGGGGCCUAUCAAGUCAGUGGUGAAACACCUGGGCUCAACUCAGGUAUUGCCAUUGAAACUGUUAGGCUUGAGGGUAGAAGAGGAGUGUGGAAUUCCCGGUGUAGCGGUGAGAUGCGUAGAUAUCGGGAGGAACACCAGUGGCGAAGGCGGCACUCUGGUCUACACCUGACGCUGAGGCGCGAAAGCUAGGGGAGCAAACAGGAUUAGAUACCCUGGUAGUCCUAGCCGUAAACGAUGGGUACUAGGUGUAGGGGGUUUAGAUACCCUCUGUGCCGUAGCUAACGCAUUAAGUACCCCGCCUGGGGAGUACGGUCGCAAGGCUGAA
RNAcentral lists this ribosomal RNA (376 nucleotides) under uncultured bacterium. Its description in RNAcentral is "bacterial SSU rRNA". It matches the Rfam family "Bacterial small subunit ribosomal RNA", at positions 523 to 898 of the family's 1533-position model. The record is from RNAcentral.